GGGUCGGCCGGAGUGAUCGCCCGUGUUUGGUCGAAAGACGGAGCACGGGAGGAAAGUCCGGACACCACAAGGCAGCAUGCCACAUGAAAAUGUGGGGGUCGUGGCGCAAGCCGCGGUCACAGACAGUGUCACAGAAAUCAAACCGCCACGGCGCAAGCCGGGGCAAGGGUGAAAAGGCGGGGUAAGAGCCCACCGCUCCGACCGCGAGGAAGGAGGCACGACAAACCUCAUGCGGUGCAAGACAGAACAGGGGAAACGGCCCGCCUGGCCGCAAAUCCGGUCCGCAAGGGCCGGAUGGAUGACUCCGGGUAAUAGUCGCACCACCGUCGCAAGACGGGGGCGGGCCGGCCGCUUCGGCCCGACAGAUAAAUGAUCAUGACCUGCCGCCGCAAGGUGUGCGGGGGACAGAAUCCGGCUUAUGAGGGCCGAUCCACAU
RNAcentral lists this RNase P RNA (436 nucleotides) under Verrucomicrobiaceae bacterium. RNAcentral describes it as "RNase P RNA component class A". It matches the Rfam family "Bacterial RNase P class A". Rfam says of the family: Ribonuclease P (RNase P) is a ubiquitous endoribonuclease, found in archaea, bacteria and eukarya as well as chloroplasts and mitochondria. The record is from RNAcentral. Lineage: Bacteria; Pseudomonadati; Verrucomicrobiota; Verrucomicrobiia; Verrucomicrobiales; Verrucomicrobiaceae.